This 620-nucleotide small RNA is filed under the name Histoplasma capsulatum. Its description in RNAcentral is "hypothetical RNA". The record is from RNAcentral. Lineage: Eukaryota; Fungi; Ascomycota; Eurotiomycetes; Onygenales; Ajellomycetaceae. RNAcentral also lists the same sequence under 1 other name.
CUGUUGCGUCUACUCUUCAGACGUGAUUCAUUCAAGAAAUUACUCCCUCACAUCUGGCGGGAGAGUCCGCCUGUUGGAAGUGAAACACAUCGCUCAACUCAAAAUGCUGGCCGCAAGAGAUCAAGAAAACCUUGUCCAUGCUCAUCAGACUGCUGCUGCUGCCAAACCCCUGAACCAGAGUACCAGACAGCUACAACCAAAGACACCCGGUAACAGAGCACCGAAAACACCCUUCGGGCUAUCCUUGAAUGACGAGAAUAAUCCUCUGGUCUUUGGUGGGGGAAGGAAGACAGGAAAACCGAAUAAUGGACAGAACGAGAAUAUCCUGAAGUCAGGGCAGGAUGCAAUUGCUGGUGGGAAUGCGUUCGUUACGCCUAUGGCCCCACGAAGUCGUGCUCCCUUAGGAGUGAAAACGACAAAUGCGAAGGCGCAAGCUUUCCAAACCCCAGCACCCCCUUUGGGUACAUCUAAACCAGUCAAGACCACAAAGCGACCUUCAGCGACUCGAAAAUUGAAGCAGAGCACCCCUGAAGUGCUGCCAGGUCCGCCCAAAGUCGUUGCUACAGAGGACGAAAAGGACGAUGUUCCAGAUAUUGAAUAUAUGCCUCCCAAACCAACAC